GGGUUGUGAGGUUAAGCGACUAAGCGUACACGGUGGAUGCCCUGGCAGUCAGAGGCGAUGAAGGACGUGCUAAUCUGCGAUAAGCGUCGGUAAGGUGAUAUGAACCGUUAUAACCGGCGAUUUCCGAAUGGGGAAACCCAGUGUGUUUCGACACACUAUCAUUAACUGAAUCCAUAGGUUAAUGAGGCGAACCGGGGGAACUGAAACAUCUAAGUACCCCGAGGAAAAGAAAUCAACCGAGAUUCCCCCAGUAGCGGCGAGCGAACGGGGAGCAGCCCAGAGCCUGAAUCAGUGUGUGUGUUAGUGGAAGCGUCUGGAAAGGCGCGCGAUACAGGGUGACAGCCCCGUACACAAAAAUGCACAUGCUGUGAGCUCGAUGAGUAGGGCGGGACACGUGGUAUCCUGUCUGAAUAUGGGGGGACCAUCCUCCAAGGCUAAAUACUCCUGACUGACCGAUAGUGAACCAGUACCGUGAGGGAAAGGCGAAAAGAACCCCGGCGAGGGGAGUGAAAAAGAACCUGAAACCGUGUACGUACAAGCAGUGGGAGCACGCUUAGGCGUGUGACUGCGUACCUUUUGUAUAAUGGGUCAGCGACUUAUAUUCUGUAGCAAGGUUAACCGAAUAGGGGAGCCGAAGGGAAACCGAGUCUUAACUGGGCGUUAAGUUGCAGGGUAUAGACCCGAAACCCGGUGAUCUAGCCAUGGGCAGGUUGAAGGUUGGGUAACACUAACUGGAGGACCGAACCGACUAAUGUUGAAAAAUUAGCGGAUGACUUGUGGCUGGGGGUGAAAGGCCAAUCAAACCGGGAGAUAGCUGGUUCUCCCCGAAAGCUAUUUAGGUAGCGCCUCGUGAAUUCAUCUCCGGGGGUAGAGCACUGUUUCGGCAAGGGGGUCAUCCCGACUUACCAACCCGAUGCAAACUGCGAAUACCGGAGAAUGUUAUCACGGGAGACACACGGCGGGUGCUAACGUCCGUCGUGAAGAGGGAAACAACCCAGACCGCCAGCUAAGGUCCCAAAGUCAUGGUUAAGUGGGAAACGAUGUGGGAAGGCCCAGACAGCCAGGAUGUUGGCUUAGAAGCAGCCAUCAUUUAAAGAAAGCGUAAUAGCUCACUGGUCGAGUCGGCCUGCGCGGAAGAUGUAACGGGGCUAAACCAUGCACCGAAGCUGCGGCAGCGACGCUGAUGCGUUGUUGGGUAGGGGAGCGUUCUGUAAGCCUGCGAAGGUGUGCUGUGAGGCAUGCUGGAGGUAUCAGAAGUGCGAAUGCUGACAUAAGUAACGAUAAAGCGGGUGAAAAGCCCGCUCGCCGGAAGACCAAGGGUUCCUGUCCAACGUUAAUCGGGGCAGGGUGAGUCGACCCCUAAGGCGAGGCCGAAAGGCGUAGUCGAUGGGAAACAGGUUAAUAUUCCUGUACUUGGUGUUACUGCGAAGGGGGGACGGAGAAGGCUAUGUUGGCCGGGCGACGGUUGUCCCGGUUUAAGCGUGUAGGCUGGUUUUCCAGGCAAAUCCGGAAAAUCAAGGCUGAGGCGUGAUGACGAGGCACUACGGUGCUGAAGCAACAAAUGCCCUGCUUCCAGGAAAAGCCUCUAAGCAUCAGGUAACAUCAAAUCGUACCCCAAACCGACACAGGUGGUCAGGUAGAGAAUACCAAGGCGCUUGAGAGAACUCGGGUGAAGGAACUAGGCAAAAUGGUGCCGUAACUUCGGGAGAAGGCACGCUGAUAUGUAGGUGAAGUCCCUCGCGGAUGGAGCUGAAAUCAGUCGAAGAUACCAGCUGGCUGCAACUGUUUAUUAAAAACACAGCACUGUGCAAACACGAAAGUGGACGUAUACGGUGUGACGCCUGCCCGGUGCCGGAAGGUUAAUUGAUGGGGUCAGCGCAAGCGAAGCUCUUGAUCGAAGCCCCGGUAAACGGCGGCCGUAACUAUAACGGUCCUAAGGUAGCGAAAUUCCUUGUCGGGUAAGUUCCGACCUGCACGAAUGGCGUAAUGAUGGCCAGGCUGUCUCCACCCGAGACUCAGUGAAAUUGAACUCGCUGUGAAGAUGCAGUGUACCCGCGGCAAGACGGAAAGACCCCGUGAACCUUUACUAUAGCUUGACACUGAACAUUGAGCCUUGAUGUGUAGGAUAGGUGGGAGGCUUUGAAGUGUGGACGCCAGUCUGCAUGGAGCCGACCUUGAAAUACCACCCUUUAAUGUUUGAUGUUCUAACGUGGACCCGUAAUCCGGGUUGCGGACAGUGUCUGGUGGGUAGUUUGACUGGGGCGGUCUCCUCCUAAAGAGUAACGGAGGAGCACGAAGGUUGGCUAAUCCUGGUCGGACAUCAGGAGGUUAGUGCAAUGGCAUAAGCCAGCUUGACUGCGAGCGUGACGGCGCGAGCAGGUGCGAAAGCAGGUCAUAGUGAUCCGGUGGUUCUGAAUGGAAGGGCCAUCGCUCAACGGAUAAAAGGUACUCCGGGGAUAACAGGCUGAUACCGCCCAAGAGUUCAUAUCGACGGCGGUGUUUGGCACCUCGAUGUCGGCUCAUCACAUCCUGGGGCUGAAGUAGGUCCCAAGGGUAUGGCUGUUCGCCAUUUAAAGUGGUACGCGAGCUGGGUUUAGAACGUCGUGAGACAGUUCGGUCCCUAUCUGCCGUGGGCGCUGGAGAACUGAGGGGGGCUGCUCCUAGUACGAGAGGACCGGAGUGGACGCAUCACUGGUGUUCGGGUUGUCAUGCCAAUGGCACUGCCCGGUAGCUAAAUGCGGAAGAGAUAAGUGCUGAAAGCAUCUAAGCACGAAACUUGCCCCGAGAUGAGUUCUCCCUGACUCCUUGAGAGUCCUGAAGGAACGUUGAAGACGACGACGUUGAUAGGCCGGGUGUGUAAGCGCAGCGAUGCGUUGAGCUAACCGGUACUAAUGAACCGUGAGGCUUAACCUUACAACGCCGAAGGUGUUU
Molecule: ribosomal RNA, 2931 nt
Filed under: Escherichia coli
Lineage: Bacteria; Pseudomonadati; Pseudomonadota; Gammaproteobacteria; Enterobacterales; Enterobacteriaceae
Description: 23S ribosomal RNA
Rfam family: Bacterial large subunit ribosomal RNA
Source: RNAcentral